RNAcentral lists this ribosomal RNA (253 nucleotides) under uncultured bacterium. Its description in RNAcentral is "partial 16S ribosomal RNA". It matches the Rfam family "Bacterial small subunit ribosomal RNA", at positions 524 to 776 of the family's 1533-position model. The record is from RNAcentral.
UACAGAGGUCCCGAGCGUUGUUCGGAUUCACUGGGCGUAAAGGGUGCGUAGGCGGCUUUGCAAGUCUGAUGUGAAAUCUCCGGGCCCAACCCGGAAAUGGCAUUAGAAACUGUGAGGCUGGAGGCUUGGAGGGGGAACUGGAAUGCUCGGUGUAGCAGUGAAAUGCGUAGAGAUCGAGCGGAACACCAGUGGCGAAGGCGAGUUCCUGGACAAGACCUGACGCUGAGGCACGGAAGCCGGGGGAGCAAACAGG